RNAcentral lists this ribosomal RNA (820 nucleotides) under uncultured eukaryote. RNAcentral describes it as "SSU rRNA". It matches the Rfam family "Eukaryotic small subunit ribosomal RNA", at positions 629 to 1426 of the family's 1831-position model. The record is from RNAcentral.
CGGUGUUUAACUGGCGUGAUGUGGGACGUCCUACCGGUGGGCUUAGCCUCGCGAGGGGCGGCCCAACUAAUAUCCCGUCGCGGUGCUCUUUACUGAGUGUCGAGUCGGGCCGGUACGUUUACUUUGAACAAAUUAGAGUGCUUAAAGCAGGCUAUCCUCGCCUGAAUACUGCGUGCAUGGAAUAAUGGAAUAGGACCUCGGUUCUAUUUUGUUGGUUUUCGGAACCCCGAGGUAAUGAUUAAUAGGGACAGAUGGGGGCAUUCGUAUUGCGACGUUAGAGGUGAAAUUCUUGGAUCGUCGCAAGACGGACAGAAGCGAAAGCAUUUGCCAAAAAUGUUUUCAUUAAUCAAGAACGAAAGUUAGAGGUUCGAAGGCGAUCAGAUACCGCCCUAGUUCUAACCAUAAACGAUGCCAGCUAGCGAUCCGCCGAAGUUCCUCCGAUGACUCGGCGGGCAGCUUCCGGGAAACCAAAGCUUUUGGGUUCCGGGGGAAGUAUGGUUGCAAAGCUGAAACUUAAAGGAAUUGACGGAAGGGCACCACCAGGAGUGGAGCCUGCGGCUUAAUUUGACUCAACACGGGAAACCUCACCAGGCCCAGACACCGGAAGGAUUGACAGAUUGAUAGCUCUUUCUUGAUUCGGUGGGUGGUGGUGCAUGGGCCGUUCUUAGUUGGUGGAGCGAUUUGUCUGGUUAAUUCCGAUAACGAACGGGACUCUAGCCUGCUAAAUAGGCGUACCUUAUGGUAUCGCGAAGGCCCCCGGCUUCGGCCGGUGGGUUUUUACUACCAACGUACAAACAAAUCUUCUUAGAGGGACAGGCGG